GCUUGCUGAAAAUCUUCAACUUGCGUUUUAUUCCAGUAUCAAACACGCGGAGCACUAACAUCGGAAAGGUAUAAAUAUAAACAAACCCUUACUUACCUUGAAUUUCCCAUUAAAAUGCUCAGACAAUCUACAGCCAAAAUACAAUCACCAAAAAGGCGCUGUACUUGAUCUUUGCGCCAAUAGGUGAUGAAAUCCCUUGCUUAAUCCUCAGAACUCUCGUAAUACUCUUGUAAUAAUGCAAAUUCCACCCCACCAAAAAAAGACAGAUUUUUUUCCUGUUUUCCGUAGUAAAGGCAAUUCAAAAGAUUGAGAAAACUUUGUUGCUU
Molecule: unclassified non-coding RNA, 326 nt
Filed under: Hevea brasiliensis (rubber tree)
Lineage: Eukaryota; Viridiplantae; Streptophyta; Magnoliopsida; Malpighiales; Euphorbiaceae
Source: RNAcentral